Molecule: ribosomal RNA, 465 nt
Filed under: Vreelandella stevensii
Lineage: Bacteria; Pseudomonadati; Pseudomonadota; Gammaproteobacteria; Oceanospirillales; Halomonadaceae
Description: partial 16S ribosomal RNA
Rfam family: Bacterial small subunit ribosomal RNA
Source: RNAcentral
CCUACGGGGGGCUGCAGUGGGGAAUAUUGGACAAUGGGGGGAACCCUGAUCCAGCCAUGCCGCGUGUGUGAAGAAGGCCCUCGGGUUGUAAAGCACUUUCAGUGAGGAAGAACGCCUGGUGGUUAAUACCCAUCAGGAAAGACAUCACUCACAGAAGAAGCACCGGCUAACUCCGUGCCAGCAGCCGCGGUAAUACGGAGGGUGCGAGCGUUAAUCGGAAUUACUGGGCGUAAAGCGCGCGUAGGUGGCUUGAUAAGCCGGUUGUGAAAGCCCCGGGCUCAACCUGGGAACGGCAUCCGGAACUGUCAAGCUAGAGUGAAGGAGAGGAAGGUAGAAUUCCCGGUGUAGCGGUGAAAUGCGUAGAGAUCGGGAGGAAUACCAGUGGCGAAGGCGGCCUUCUGGACUGACACUGACACUGAGGUGCGAAAGCGUGGGUAGCAAACAGGAUUAGAUACCCUGGUAGUC